This 86-nucleotide transfer RNA is filed under the name Candidatus Peribacteraceae bacterium. Its description in RNAcentral is "tRNA-Leu". It matches the Rfam family "tRNA". Rfam says of the family: Transfer RNA (tRNA) molecules are approximately 80 nucleotides in length. Their secondary structure includes four short double-helical elements and three loops (D, anti-codon, and T loops). Further hydrogen bonds mediate the characteristic L-shaped molecular structure. tRNAs have two regions of fundamental functional importance: the anti-codon, which is responsible for specific mRNA codon recognition, and the 3' end, to which the tRNAs corresponding amino acid is attached (by aminoacyl-tRNA synthetases). tRNAs cope with the degeneracy of the genetic code in two manners: having more than one tRNA (with a specific anti-codon) for a particular amino acid; and 'wobble' base-pairing, i.e. permitting non-standard base-pairing at the 3rd anti-codon position. The record is from RNAcentral. Lineage: Bacteria; Candidatus Peregrinibacteriota; Candidatus Peribacteria; Candidatus Peribacterales.
GCCCAGGUGGCGAAAUGGCAGACGCGCUAGCUUGAGGGGCUAGUGGGAGCAAUCCCGUGGAGGUUCAAGUCCUCUCCUGGGCACCA